Molecule: RNase P RNA, 391 nt
Filed under: Lentisphaerota bacterium
Lineage: Bacteria; Pseudomonadati; Lentisphaerota
Description: Lentisphaerae bacterium (feces metagenome) RNase P RNA component class A
Rfam family: Bacterial RNase P class A
About the family: Ribonuclease P (RNase P) is a ubiquitous endoribonuclease, found in archaea, bacteria and eukarya as well as chloroplasts and mitochondria. Its best characterised activity is the generation of mature 5'-ends of tRNAs by cleaving the 5'-leader elements of precursor-tRNAs.
Source: RNAcentral
AGCAGUUGACAGGCAAUCGCUCCUGUUUUACAGGAGAGGAAAGUCCGGACUGCACAGAGCGGGAAGUCCUUUUCAGCGCGCCGCCGCCCCUUGCGGACUGCGGUUGUGUGAAAGAAGGAUGCUGCGGACCAUAAGCCGCAGGAAGGAAAGUGCAACAGAAAAAAUACCGCCGGAGUCCGCUCCGGUAAGGGUGAAAAGGUGGGGCAAGAGCCCACCGGGCGCUAUGCGAGAGCAGCGUCGCUCAGGCAAACCCCUUCCGCAGCAAGACCAAAUAGGGAACGAGCUGUUGCUCGCAGCGUUACAAGUUCCGGGUUCUGGUCGCAUAGACAGAUGAUUGCCGCCGAUAGCGUAUGCUGUCGGAACAGAAUCCGGCUUAUCUCAAGUGCUGCCU